CAUCAACAUUCGUCGUUUGACAACUUAACCUCAAAUAAAACGCGCCAAAUAUUUACGCAAAAAUGCAGGCCUUUCUCAAGUCGGGAAAGUUAGAUAAUAGUGAUAAAUCAGUGCCUUCAAGCUCGAAAACAUCAAAAAAGUCGAAAGCCGUCCCGUGGGUUGAAAAAUACCGUCCUAGGACAGUCUCGGACGUUGUGGAACAGAGCGAGGCUGUUUCAGUGUUACAGCAAUGUAUUUCAGGGGCGGAUCUCCCAAACUUGUUGUUUUAUGGUCCUCCUGGGACAGGCAAAACCAGCACAAUUCUGGCAGCUGCAAGACAGCUUUUUGGUGACUAUUACAGAGACAGAAUUCUUGAACUGAAUGCGUCCGAUGAACGAGGAAUUCAAGUUAUUCGAGACAAGGUCAAGACUUUUGCACAACUAACUGCUAGCGGUACAAGGCCUGAUGGUAAACCGUGCCCUCCGUUCAAAAUCGUCAUUUUGGAUGAAGCGGACUCGAUGACACACGCAGCUCAGGCUGCCUUACGUCGAACGAUGGAAAAAGAGUCUCGAUCAACCAGAUUUUGUCUAAUUUGUAACUACGUGUCACGGAUUAUCGAACCGUUGACAUCACGAUGUACGAAAUUUCGAUUUAAACCACUGAACGAAGCUAUGAUCCUUGAACGGUUGAGUUUCAUAUGUGGGAAAGAAAAUGUCGAAUGUAGCGAUGAAACUUUAGCUACCUUGGUUGAGACAAGUGGGGGCGAUAUGAGGAGAGCCAUUACUUCAUUACAGAGUUGUGCGAAAUUGAAAGGAAGUGGGGUUCCUAUAAGUAUUGAUGACGUGUUGGAAGUGACCGGUGUUGUGCCAGAACGUUGGUUAAAGAAGUUUUUAGAUGUUUGUAAAACCAAAGAUCAAAACAAACUUCAAGCGUUUUUGAAAGAAAUGAUGUUUGAAGCAUAUGCCGCCUCACAGAAAUUUGUUUUAGAUUUUGGAACAGCUCAAUCAGUACAUUGUUAAUUUUGAGGGGUUCACUGACCAACAAAAGGCGAUUAUUGGUCAGAAACUGGGGGUUGUGAGUUUUAAACUGCAAGAUGGUGGUUCGGAAUUUAUUCAACUGUUGGAUUUGGGGUGUUCUAUAAUUCGAGCAUUUUGUAAUGUGUAAGUCUCAUUAAAUUAAAUUUUCCCAAAAUACAAA
RNA transcript from Tribolium castaneum (red flour beetle), 1176 nucleotides. RefSeq lists it as uncharacterized. The record is from RefSeq and is a predicted model, not a curated record. The transcript has 6 exons. Lineage: Eukaryota; Metazoa; Arthropoda; Insecta; Coleoptera; Tenebrionidae.